GUACUCCUUCAGUAGCACAUAUAAUAAAAAAAAAAGUGAUACAGAGAUUAGCACAGCUCCUGCAUAAGAAUGACACGCAAAUUCGUGAAGCAUUGUAUAUUUAG
Fukomys damarensis (Damara mole-rat) is the source of this 104-nucleotide small nuclear RNA. The record is from Ensembl. Lineage: Eukaryota; Metazoa; Chordata; Mammalia; Rodentia; Bathyergidae.